Molecule: long non-coding RNA, 595 nt
Filed under: Ananas comosus (pineapple)
Lineage: Eukaryota; Viridiplantae; Streptophyta; Magnoliopsida; Poales; Bromeliaceae
Description: long non-coding RNA (ACOM_LNC030869)
Source: RNAcentral
UAACCAAUUUCUAUGACGCCCCAACUUCCCGGGGAUCACCCAUCCUAGGACUACUCCCGCCCUAGCAUUCUUAACUCUCUUAACCUCUUAAGCCUAUCCACCACCUAAAAUAUUUAAGUCGGGUUAAGAGUUUUAACCCUAUUAUAUCUUAUAUACAGAACUAUUUGAAAUCUCACAUUCCCCUCCCUUUAAGCCCUAAUGUCCUCAUCAGACUUAGACUCAUAAGUAUCAGACAAUAUGAGACUCAUUUCGCUAGCCUAAACCAAUCUUAUGGGAAUCUGUGCUGCACUCACAAUAGUCAAUAGUCUGAGAGUCUCGCUCGCCCAGCUGUAUAAUUCUAGCUCGGCCGAGACUCAUCGCAUACUUCUGGCUGGUAAUUGACUAUGAUACCAACUGUGACGCAUCAACUUCUCAAGGGGUCACUCAUCCUAGGAUUACUCCCGUACUAGUACGCUUAACUCUUUUAACCUCCUUAGCCUAGCCACCAUUCAAAAUACUUAAGUCAGAUUAAAAAUUUUAGCCCCAUUAUAUCUUAUAUAUAGGACUAUUUGAGAUCUCACACUUUCACUCUUAGGAAUGUUUCUAAAAUAAAAGA